ACUUGAAUAGCUUAAUAAUUAGAGCGUAGUAUUGAAGCUACUAAGGAGGUUAUUGUAAUCUUUAAGUA
Molecule: transfer RNA, 68 nt
Filed under: Blattella asahinai (Asian cockroach)
Lineage: Eukaryota; Metazoa; Arthropoda; Insecta; Blattodea; Blattellidae
Description: tRNA-Phe
Source: RNAcentral